Molecule: non-coding RNA, 2146 nt
Organism: Delphinapterus leucas (beluga whale)
Lineage: Eukaryota; Metazoa; Chordata; Mammalia; Artiodactyla; Monodontidae
Source: RefSeq, a predicted model, not a curated record
CAAAGUGGAUCCCACAUGAAGUCUUUCACUAUGUGCUCCCACCCACUUCUCGACUAGCCAGAGUCCAGGUCCACCCACUUCUCGACUACCCAAAGGCCAGAGACUGCCCCUUCCUUACCUACUGGCCUUCCCAAAGAUGUGGACAUAUGACCCAGGCUGGACAGCUAGAAGUCUCCAUCUUCUGAACAAGGCCUUAUGUUUUCUAAAAACACAAUGACAGAUGGGGAAACAAUCCAGCAUGAGCAGCUCACCAACAGAUGCAAAAGUGCACUUUGUGAGACCUGGUUACAUUUUGCUCAGAGAAAUCUUUAAGCUCCCUUGAUUGCUAUUUUCAAAUGUUUGUAAGGAAAAUGUAGGUGAUGGAGCAGCAGACUUAUUUCAGAAGAAAUAAGUGGCCAAUGGGUGAAUCUUGCAGGAAGUUGGACUUAGCACUGCAUAAGCACUAACCUUCAAAGGAAUUGACUGUUGGGAACUACAGCAAGCUUUCUUUACCUGGGAGUGUGCAUCUACAGAGACGUACUCAGUGCCCGAGAGGUGACCCUCUGCAUGGAAGAGUUUAACUUAUUUGAAAUGUAGCCCUCUCUUAAUGACUGUCAGCAGGUUCCAGGAUUUCUUAGAGGUCCAGAAGUGUUGAAAAUAACUGGAGUUGUCAAGAAUAGAAAUAAGAGAGAGGAGGAUAUGAGGAAGAUGGGAUUAGCAUUAGAGAAACUCUGAAAUCUGUUAAAUGGUCUUUCUAGAACCUCCAUUUCCUCUUUCUUGACCAGUGAUAUACUCUCCCCAUCCUCCAUGCUAUUGUCUUGUACCACUUUCAAAAUACUCCUUAAUUAAAGGGUUAGUAAUAAUUCAUACUAACAAGUAAGUGACUUAGAGAAAUCCACAGUCUUUUCUGCCUAGAGCCAUUGCUUACCAGUAAAUGAUAAAAGCUAACUAAUAGACUAUAAAGUCAAGUUAUUAACCAUUUGCAGGGGAGAGAUGAAGUGUUACGUUUGGGGGUACGUAUACUAAAGGUUGAUGACAAAUAACAGAAAUGGCCUCUAACUAACUUCAGCACAAAAUGAAUCCAUUUGAAGAACACUGGGGAAGCUCACCGAAAUGAGGAUCAUCAACCAUGCCUCAGGAAAGACAUGAACCAGGGAAGCCCUGGGGACUGGGAAGUAAGAACAGGUGAACCUUCUCUACCAUGGCUGCUGCCAGGAAACUCAGCUCUAACUGCUGUCCUUUGCCACCAUAUCUGUGUAUGUCAACUUAAUAUUCAAAUUCCCAAAAGACAGAAGAUGAUGGUGGAUCUUGGGUCCUGUGACUACCUUGGGGGCUAGAAGAGAAGAGUCUGAUGCCAGGUGCUGGUAGAAGCGUGAAGGUAAGACAACCAGAUGUAGGAAAAGUCAUAAAAGAGGGACGGAAAUUCUUCCCAGCAACCUGAGAUCACAUCACACAAGUGAAGUUUUGAGAGUUGCCUCAUGUCACCAACAAGUCCAAUCCCAUCACCAUUAUGCUCAGAGCCCUUGAGUGCCUCCCAGGUUCCAACAGGUGAAGCCCAAAUUCCAUAGCAGGUAUCCAUGACCCAUGCGCUCUUGCCCUUGACCACUUCACUGGCCAAAUGACCACUGAGUGGCCCUUCUGAUUGACAGCCCAGCCACAGUGCACCAGUGAGCAUUCCUAGUCCUAGCGCCCCUCUCCAUGCAGCAUCCUUCUGACUCUUGACGGCUUUGAGAGUACCUAUUUGCCUUCACAGAUGACGGAACAAGGUAACUGGCCGCAUCCACAAAGUACCUGCUCUGUUUGGUAUUUUCACUGACUCUGGUUUUAUUUUUGAGGUUUACAGUAUUAUGGAAUGUAUUUCCCAUGAGCCACCUCAUAUCUUUGAUGGUAUGAGGCAGGAUGUAAACAGGUAGGGCCCUUUGGAGCAUCAGAGCUGGGUCAGAAGUCAGGGCGAUCUCCCUCUCCUUCCCUCCACUUCCAGGUUAGAGUAAAUGCAGCUUCAAGUUACCUGCCACAUAGUAGGUGCUCGAUAAAUACUUACUUGGUAAUCUACUGAGAGAAGAGGGCUUUUACUCCUUAUGACCAAUGACCGGGGCCAGAUCCAGGUCUCGGGGGUCUGAGGCUUACUCAGUUUGCCUGGCCCUCUAGGGAAAAUAAUAUGAAGAUA